UCUUAGCUGAGUGUGCCGCGGAGCCCGAAGCGUUUACUUUGUAAAAAUUAGAGUGUUCAAAGCAGAGGCGAGCCGCCUGGAUAUCGCAGCUAGAA
This 95-nucleotide microRNA precursor is filed under the name Tupaia belangeri (northern tree shrew). Its description in RNAcentral is "miRNA (ENSTBEG00000021042.1)". The record is from RNAcentral. Lineage: Eukaryota; Metazoa; Chordata; Mammalia; Scandentia; Tupaiidae.